Molecule: ribosomal RNA, 479 nt
Filed under: uncultured bacterium
Lineage: Bacteria
Description: bacterial SSU rRNA
Rfam family: Bacterial small subunit ribosomal RNA
Source: RNAcentral
GAUGAACGCUAGCGGAGGCUUAACACAUGCAAGGUCGAGGGGUAAAUGGUAGCAAUACUAUGAGACCGGCGGACGGGUGCGUAACGCGUAUGCAACAUACCUUGUGCAGGGGGAUAGCCCGUGGAAACGCGGAUUAAUAUUCCAUAGUCCAGCUAUAUCGCAUGGUAUAGUUGGUAAAGAUUUAUCGGCACAAGUUUGGCAUGCGUCUGAUUAGCUUGUUGGUAGGGUAACGGCCUACCAAGGCUACGAUCAGUAGGGGUUCUGAGAGGAUUAACCCCCACACUGGUACUGAGACACGGACCAGACUCCUACGGGAGGCAGCAGUGAGGAAUAUUGGUCAAUGGGCGGAAGCCUGAACCAGCCAUCCCGCGUGCAGGAAGACAGUUCUAUGGAUUGUAAACUGCUUUUCUUGGGGAAGAAUAAUGACGACGUGUCGUCAGAUGACGGUACCCGAGGAAUAAGCAUCGGCUAACUCCGUG